UACGGGGGGGGUAAGCGUUGUUCGGAAUUACUGGGCGUAAAGGGCGCGUAGGCGGCUUGGCAAGUGGAAGGUGAAAUCCCUCGGCUUAACCGAGGAACUGCCCUCCAAACUGCUUUGCUUGAGGCCGGGAGAGGCGAGUGGAAUUCCCAGUGUAGCGGUGAAAUGCGUAGAUAUUGGGAGGAACACCAGUGGCGAAGGCGGCUCGCUGGACCGGUUCUGACGCUGAUGCGCGAAAGCGUGGGGAGCAAACGGG
This 253-nucleotide ribosomal RNA is filed under the name uncultured bacterium. Its description in RNAcentral is "partial 16S ribosomal RNA". It matches the Rfam family "Bacterial small subunit ribosomal RNA", at positions 524 to 776 of the family's 1533-position model. The record is from RNAcentral.